CAAACCCAACCCUUCUUCGCCUCGUUCAUGAUUGGCUGAGAAGUCUGAAGGAGAUUCACGGGAUAGCAAGAUGUCCGCGUUCAUUUGAAAAGGAGUGUUUAUUAUCGAUGAGUUCCCUCUUUUCUGUGUUCGUAUGUCGAUUUUUUAAUAAUGCAACAUAUAAAAGAAACCGGAAUCAUAUAAAGAAAAUACGAGGACUCCGAGCCAAGAGCCAUACAAUUUGUUAUUAACAGAAAUAAUGCUGAUAUCGGGAACUCAUGUCGAACGUCUAUGAAGAGAGAGCCACAAUGAUAGCCGCUGGGGAACUGCAGUCGUUUGUCCCGUUCGGUCGUGAGCACUGCAAAAAUCACCCGAACGCCGUUAACAUCCAGCUGCGACAGCUGCAGCCUGCGUCUGAGUUGUGGUCCUCAGAUGGCGCGGCCGGGCUUGUGGGGUCCCUUCAAGAGGUCACUCUUCAUGAGCGAGAGAAGGAAUCCUGGCAACUUAGAAAGGGUUCAGAUGGCGCUGGUGAUGAAAUUGAGUUUGAGGAGGAGCUUUAUGUGGCUGGCAACAUGGUUAUCUGGAGCCGUGGAACCAAAGGCCAAGCCUCCUGUGUCUACAAGGCAUUUACUGUGGACAGCACAGUGCAGCAGGCCUUGUGGUGCAACUUCAGGGUUCCACAAAAUAAAAAGUCCUCAAAGGAGAUUGUGGAGCAUACAGUUUGCAUUGCCCAGGACACGUGUGUGAAUGUCCACAGUGUGAGUGGGAAAGACUUCAUUGCUCCCCUACCUUUCCAGGUCUCCACGCUGUGGCCCACCAUGUUUGGCCUCCUGCUGGAGCGCAAAAACCUCACCUCUGAUAUUCCUAUGAGUCCUCCCAGCAGGGAGCCUCUCCCCUCUCUCUUCAGUAUGCUGCAUCCUCUGGAUGAGAUUGCUCCCCUGGUGUGCAGGUCAACAGCCCUGUUUGACCUUCCUCGCAUCCAGUAUGUGUCGGACAGCAUGCUGAGGGUGGUGUUUACCUCCUGCGACCCCUCCAUCAUCAUGACCUACGAUACAGUGCAGUGCACGCACACUGUGUGGCUGCUGCGCAAAGUCACUGUGGAGGAGCAGUCAGUGCUGCUGAAGUGCCCGGAACCCGGACCAGGAACAGGUGCUGCCAGCUUCCUGGGCGCACACCUGCGCAACGUCUCCCCCCUGGACUCGCCCGCCUCGCCACUUCACUGCCAUACCCUGCACAACCAGAGCCGCCUGGCGGCCUCUCCCAGUCUGCACUCCCGUGCCCACUCCCCUGGGAUAUCCAACAUGGCCGCCCUCAGCCGUUCCCACAACCCCGGCAUAGCUGCGCCAUCCUUCUGCAAUGCCCAGCGAUUCAACGUGUCGUGCCACUCACCGUCGCCCCGCGGGCACAGCCUGCUGGCCUCACCCAACAGCACCAUGAACGAGUCGGCACUGUUACCUGAGAGAGAGCCCAUCAUCCCGGACCUGUGCAUCGAGCAGCUGUGGAGUGAGACUUCCACCUCACACAGGGACAAGAGUUGCCAGACAUCUAAAGUGUUUAUCACCUCAGACCUGUGUGAGAACAAAUACCUGUGUUUCCUGGUGGAGUCUCAUCAAGAGCUCAGAUGUGUGAAAUUCCUAGAAAGUAACCAUCCACCCCAACUCCUCUUUGUGUCCGUGUCCAGUAUCCCAGCCAAGAAUGCUGCACCUUUGCAGGACCGUGACUGCAUGCUUGUCCUCGAGGUCAACGGGAGCCUGGUCUUAUACACUGGAGUUACACGGGUCAGUAAGGUGUUUGUGCCGGGCCUGCUGCCGCCGUCGCUCAGCGUGAUCAGCUGCCUGCCGCAUCACUGCAGCUCCAUGGACAGUGUCAGCACCCCGGCCAAGUCCACCGUCAGACACCUCAGCAACCUGGAGGAGAUUGGUGUGAUGCCCUCUCCUGUGGCCGACGGGAUGGGCGCAGUCAAGCACCACGAGACAUCCUGGGUGGAAGACUUCAACUUCCAGCAAACCGUGCCCCACGUGCACACACUCCGAGACUCCGUCAGCAGCAGAGUUACUCUGGAGCUGAGCAAUGGCUCAAUGCAGAGGAUAACCAUUCCCGAGAUAGCGACAUCGGAGCUCGUGAGACGAUGCCUUCAGGCCAUCCGCUUCAUUCUGCCCAAGGACAUGGCAAUGAAAGUGCUGGUCAAGUGGUACAAUACUUACAACGCCCCUGGUGGUCCCAGCACACACCAGGAGUGGAACCUGUUCCUCUCCUGCUUCAUGACGAUGAUGGGCUACAACACCGAUCGGCUGACGUGGACCCGCAACCUCCAUAUUGAAGUGCCUCUCUCCCCAGUCGCUCCGAAGAAGGCUAGACCUGCCGACACGGGCUCAGACGAGGACUGGGACUACCUGCGCAGCUCGGACUACCACUGGCAGCUGUCCAUGCAGCAUGUGGCGGGGGUGCCGGGGCUGGGCACUCUGGCGCCCUCUGGUGCCAGGGAAGAGCAGAUGUCUGUGCUGAGUGUGGACUCCUCGGCCCCUUUGUUUCAGCACAUCCCGUCCCUGUUCGCUGUGCUGCACCUGCUCUACGAAGACCUGAAGCUGGACGAGCUGCAAAGAAGUGGAGCCCGCUCCCUAGUGGGCCUCCUGCAGCAGAUGGCCAGAGACCUGCAGCUGGAGGAGUACAUUGAUCUGUACUGGCGCGAUUACCCCUCGUUCAUCAAAACGUUCCACGAGUCCUGCGUGAUCGACCAGGCCCAGAUGGAGCAGAUGACCCGGCCCUCGUUCCUGACGCCGGAGCCACCCUGUGUGUUUGGCUGGCUCCGCCACUGCCUCAGAGGGGAGGACGUGCCACCUUUCCCCUACCUGCCUGGCAUUUGCGAGAGGACCAAACUACUGGUGCUUAGUUACGCGUUGUACGUGGCUGGAGACAAGAAUGCGGUGUCGGAAAACGUCUCUAAAUACCUGGCCAAGAUCUCUGCAGGGCAGAAGAAGAACAUCUGUGAUCAAAUUCCCGAAAUCAGGAGAGAGAGCAGCGUGAAGUUUGAGGCCCCGCAGGGGAACCUGGCCGAGAGGCUGAUGGAGUGGCUGACCUCUGCUGGGUUCACUCUGAAGGACCUCGAGUCGGUACCAUUUGGGGCGGCCCUGCCAAUCAGAGAUGCCAUCUACCAGUGCCGAGAGCACCCGUGCUCUGAUUGGUCCGAAGAUGUUUGUGCACUGAUUGGACGGCAGGACCUCACCAAACAGGCACACAAAGUCACUCCUACCAAGGCCAAAACGUCGGUAGGCCUUGGGGGCGAGAUGCUUGAUGUGCCGGUGCCCAGUGAGGCUGACGAGGAGGAGGACGGCAUGGCGGACCUGGACCCCGAGGUGACGGGGCUGAUCUGGAGUCAGGACCUGCGCGUGCAGGAGGUGCGGCGGCUGCUGCAGAGCUCGCGGCCCGUCCGCGUCAACGUGGCCCAGCUGCCCGAGGUCAGCGAUCAUGAGUACAUCGAGGAGAAGGAGAACAAGCUCCUGCUGCUGUGCCAGCGCACCAUGGCACUGCCUGUUGGCAGAGGCCUCUUCACCCUGUUUUCCUACCGACCCGUGCCUACAGAACCCCUACCUGUGCCAAAGCUCAACCUCACUGGCCGGGCCCCUCCUCGUAACACCAUGGUGGACCUGAGCAGUGGCAACAUUGACGUGCCGGCCAACAUGACCAGCUGGGCCAGCUUCCACAACGGCGUGGCGGCGGGCCUGAAGAUUGCGCCUGCCUCGCAGGUGGAGUCGGCCUGGAUCGCCUACAACAAGCCCAAGAGCGCCGAGCUGGCCAACGAGUAUGCCGGCUUUCUUAUGGCCCUGGGCCUCAACGGCCACCUCACCAAGCUGGCCACGCUCAACAUCCACGACUACCUCACCAAGGGCCAUGAGAUGACCAGCAUCGGCCUGCUGCUGGGAGUGUCUGCUGCCAAGCUGGGCACCAUGGACAUGUCCAUCACACGGCUGCUCAGCAUCCACAUCCCCGCACUGCUGCCACCCACUUCCACCGAGCUGGACGUGCCGCACAGUGUCCAGGUGGCAGCCGUGGUUGGCAUCGGCCUCGUCUACCAGGGCACCGGGCACCGCCACAACGCAGAGGUGCUGCUCGCCGAGAUAGGUCGACCUCCAGGACCUGAGAUGGAGUACUGCACUGACCGGGAGUCCUACUCGCUUGCCGCAGGCCUGGCUCUGGGCAUGGUGUGUCUCGGGCAUGGCAGUAACCUGAUCGGCAUGACUGACCUGAACGUGCCUGAGCAGCUCUACCAGUACAUGGUGGGAGGGCACCGACGAACCCAUGCUGGCAUUAACAGGGAGAGGCACAAGUCCCCCAGCUACCAGAUCAAGGAAGGGGACACGAUCAACGUGGAUGUUACCUGUCCAGGUGCUACUCUGGCCUUGGCCAUGAUCUAUUUGAAAACCAACAACAGGUCAAUUGCUGAUUGGCUGAGAGCUCCAGACACCAUGUUCCUGCUGGACUUCAUCAAGCCUGAGUUCCUGCUCCUGAGGACCCUGGCCCGGUGCAUCAUCAUGUGGGAUGAGAUCUUGCCCAACGCUGAGUGGGUGGGCAGCAAUGUGCCCCAGAUUAUUCAGGAAAACAUCGGGACUGGUGAAGAAGUGCAAGUAUCACAGGACUUGAACAUGGAGACCUUGGCUCAAGCCCACGACUACAUCAUUGCUGGAGCCUGCAUGGCUGUGGGGUUCAGAUUUGCCGGCUCUGCCAACUCUGAUGCUUUUGACUGCCUGUACAAGUAUGCCAGGAUGUUCAUGCAGUCUCUGAAGGCGUCAGCUGCCACCAUUACGGGCCACUACAACGUGCAGACGUGCCUGAGCAUGGUGCUGCUGGCCGUGUCCAUGGUGAUGGCGGGCUCGGGGGACCUGAAGGUGCUGCAGCUGUGCCGCUUCCUGCACAAGCGCGUCGGCGGCGAGAUGAACUACGGCUUCCACAUGGCCCACCACAUGGCCCUGGGCCUGCUCUUCCUCGGGGGCGGGAGGUACACCCUGAGCACGUCCAACUCGGCCAUCGCUGCGCUGCUCUGUGCACUCUACCCCCACUUCCCCGUUCACAGCACCGACAACCGAUACCACCUCCAGGCCCUACGGCACCUCGGGGUCCUGGCUGCGGAGCCGCGUCUCCUUGUGCCAAUGGACGUGGACACUCUUAAGCCCUGCCACGUCUUAUUGGACGUCACCUACAAGGACACUAAAUGGUACGAUGAGGUGACUGUUGAGUUGAUGGCGCCAACCUUGUUGCCAGAGCUACACCUUCUUAAAGAGGUCAGAGUCAAGGGCCCUCGCUACUGGGAACUUACCAUCGACAUGAGCAAAGGCAUUCAGCAUCUCCAGUCCAUUCUCUCCAGGGACGGGGUUCUGUAUGUGAAGCUACGGGCGGGCCAGCUGCCCUAUAAAGACGACCCGCUGGGUCUGAACAGUCUUCUGGCACCCAACCCCGAUGUAAGCUCCUUUAAGCCUCAGGCCAUCUCGGCCUUCACCUCCGACGCGGCCUUGCUCUCCUUUGCCGAGUACUUCUGCCAAGCCUCCUCUGGCAGUGCUGCCAAACAUAAGCAGGCCUUAUUCUCCGCCAUCCUCUACGAGUGUGUGACUCAGGAGAACCCCGAGAUGCUGUCCACAUACAUGGCCAUUGAUCAGGCGGUGUGCGCGAUGGAGCGGAAGGAGGUGAGCGAGACGUUCUCUCUGGGCCAGAUGAAGCUGGUUCUGGAACUCUGCGAGAGCCGCGUGAUGCAGCAUCGCCUGACUGCACCGUCGCUGUCCCACAGGAAGGGCCGAGGGUGGGGCCGCGGCCUGCUGCUAACCUCCGAGUUCCUGCCCGUCAUGAAGAGCGCUGCGGACUCCGACCUCGAUCGCUGGUUGGCUGGUAACAGCCACGUGCUUCGGGCAUACAUGAGUGGCCAGCCUCUUGACGAACACACAGACACCAACAUGCUGGCCUGCUUCCUGAUCUACCACUCCCUCCCCAGCCUCAAGAAAAUGGCCUCCGCCCACCUCGAAGAGAGCGCAUCGUUCCCGGAGCUGCUGGUGAAGUGUGGUCAGCUGGGUGUGUCUGUUCGGGCCGUGCUCAGUCUGAGGGCUCUACUGCUGGGCUCAGUCGGUGCCGGGAUCCCUCAGCCGGUGCACUGACCCCUUCCUGCCCAAACCUUCCAUUCUAGACAAACGCCACCUCCCUCACGCCCACACUGAAGGACGUGUAUUAACAGGUCAUGCCAUGUGGGAAAGAAAGAAAGAAAGAAAAAAAUCAACGCUGCAUCCUUGCAGCAUGUAUAAUAUUUAUACUUAUGUUUGUACGGAAAACACAAAAAAAUUAUAAUCGCUGAGAUGCUAAGAAAUAAAAAAGAAACCAUCUGUUUUUUAAAUACUGAAGACCUCAGCCUUUUCUGUACAGGUUCUGUGAGUCACCUGACGCCGGUGUUUUGUACUUGUUGCCUGGCGCACAGUUGUUCAGCAUAUAAGCUUCACAGGCGCAUUCCUGUUCAAAUGAAAAACAUCCCUCAGCAAAUAAGCCUCAUCCCACGCUGUGCUAAAUACCAAGCUCUUCCCUCCCUUUCUGAAAUAGUUAUUUUUCUUUUAGCUUUGUUCCACUCAAAUAAGACUACAGCCUCCAUCCUCUCCAUCCUGGUGGUUUGUUCUCGCAUUCAUGGUCACUUUGACUUUUUUUUGGUCACUCAUUCCUGUAAUGCAGCACUUGAAGUCUCUUGGGCUUCUCUCUCCUCGCACCCUGCUGCAACGGAUAGCUGUGACACUAUCUGCCCUUAGGGUUUCCUCUGUGGUAGGGCUCUUGUGACACCUCUGAGGCCUGUGUGUGGGGGGGUGUCUGUCUUUUGGCAGGGAGGCCAAAUCCCCGUGGCUCAAUCAGGAAGCCCACACUGCCAUAUCUCUUGAGAUGGCAACCUGGCCUCGCCGGAUGUGGCAAGUUCACUAGUUUUAUUGCUCUGAGAUUGUCAUGUUCUUACUUACUGGGUGUGGGUGCGGGGGGUUCAUUUACACACUGACACGUGGUGUGUGUGUGUGUGUGUGUGUGUGUGAGCACUUAAUUGCUGUCUGGUUUCCUCCGUGUGAAGAUGAAAGCGGACUCUGCGGCAUGUAGUUGCCCCACAGGCUCAGUGUCCUGUGGCACAUUUCCCAGUGACUCCUCUCACAUGCCACAGUAAAACUAGGCUAACUCAGCCAGGACUGUAAUCAAACACACACAGGAGACUCAACAACUUUGCAAGCCUUCUUCUGGCCCUUGUUCUUUGUGGCCUUUAUUGUACCUCACCGCCUCCUCACAUUUUAAGUUUACAAUUGAGAUAGCUAUCAGUCUUCUUGAUUCAACUUUGUCCAGGGCAAAGAUAGACUGAGCUCUGAGACGCUCUGGGUUUUUUUUUGUUCUUGCUUCAUCAGAUCAAGGGAGGAAUCCAAGGCACGGCCCAGGAAACACUCAAGCCCUGUGGAAUCUGAAAAAUUAGAUUGAGCAACAGCAGUGGGUGGGCAUAAACAGCUUGUGAGAACAAGUAGACAUUUUAGUUUUCCAGACAUUCAGUAACUUUCUGAAGAUGUCACCAAGCCACACAUUUCCCCCCAUCCAUUGGUUAUAGUUUAAUGUAAGGGUGGAAUACACUGGAAUGGAACUAUGGAAGGUUUAAUAAAGACUAACGCUCAAAUAUGUGUGUGGAAUAAAAAAAUCUCUGACCCACUGGCAGGUUUCCUGACUAAAUGUCAAACCAAGACUUGCGUUUAUUAAUUGAUAGGUGUUGGGGUGCUCUGAAAAGCCAGUAACCGGUGCUGCCUGUGCAUGUGGGGACAAGUUUGCCCCUGAAAGAGUUGUCAGUCACCAUACAAAAUAUUGUAUGUCACUCACACACACCCCGACUGAGAAAUGUUACCACGCCCUUAUUCAAAACAAGUCUGCCUUGAAGUUCUCAAGGGAAAUCAGCUUUUGUAGUUUGCUGGGAAAAGGAGGUACAAUUAAGACGUUUCCAUUCUGGAGGUCUUGGCAGCAGUAGGACACUGUUGCCAUAGGAAGAAGAAAAAUAUUGAAAAGGUUCUACAUAUUUCCAAGAUUUCCAUUAUUGCAGGCAGAAGUAUGCAUACAGUGGUUUGGGAUGGGAAGGGCCAGUUGUCACAUCAUGAACAGUUUGAGCCCAGAGUUCUUCAUUCACAAUCAUUUCAGAUACGGGCCGUUGUAACAGGUUCUCACUCAGUGUUUAACAUGAAGUGGGUGUGACCUUACUGCGCAAAGAGAAAGUCGCGGUCCUCAACCCUCAACGCUAUGAAUGACUCAUGUCCAGAGCAAGUUAAAGAAACAACGAUUUCAAGAAAAAAAAGAUGAGGACAAGAGAGAUGAGACUCGGAAGACCAAAGUACGUGCCAUUGAAAUAUCUCUUACAUUUGCCAACUCGAAGAGAACUUUACAAGACCAACAACUGCGGAAAGUUUGACCCGCGACUCUUGCAACGCUCUCAGAAUAAACGGUCACGCCAGAGGGACGUCGCUACGCAGAGACCACAAGCCUGCCCAGACACGGAGGAGGUCAAACUUCUGCCUCAGAGGCAGCUGGGCUCAUGUGGAAGUAGGCAGACGAGAAAGCAAAUCGCUGCUGGGCUUGAAAUUACUCCCACCAAAUUGCUGACGAGUCUCUUCUUUAUUUUUUCUCUUUGCCACUGACACACUGAAACGCUUGCGGUCUAAGCUGGAGUGAAGAGCUGUGGGGAGUCCGACCGAGAGAGUCCAUCCCAGCAGUGUGUCACUGGCCCCAGGCAUGGCUGCAGGGCUUCGUCAUGCACACAUGUGGACAACAGAGGGGGAAACUACUGGACAGAGGGGGAAACUAGAGGCAGCUCAAUGUGGGGUACGA
Molecule: RNA transcript, 8829 nt
Organism: Alosa sapidissima (American shad)
Lineage: Eukaryota; Metazoa; Chordata; Actinopteri; Clupeiformes; Clupeidae
Gene: anapc1
Gene name: anaphase promoting complex subunit 1
Exons: 51
Source: RefSeq, a predicted model, not a curated record